GGAUGAAGAACGUAGCGAAAUGCGAUAAGUAAUGUGAAUUGCAGAAUUCCGUGAAUCAUCGAAUCUUUGAACGCACAUUGCGCCCCCUGGCAUUCCGGGGGGCAUGCCUGUCCGAGCGUCAUUUCUGCCCUCCAGCCCGGCUGGGUGUUGGGCGCUGUCCCCCCGGGGACACGCCCCAAAGGCAGUGGCGGCGCCGCGUCGGGUCCUCGAGCGUAUGGGGCUUUGUCACCCGCUCGGGACGGACUCGUCGGCGCUGGUCUUCCUCCAGGCGACCCUUCGGGGCUCGUCUUCCUUCGGUUGACCUCGGAUCAGGUAGGGUUACCCGCUGAACUUAAGCAUAUCAUAAGCGGAGGA
This 354-nucleotide unclassified non-coding RNA is filed under the name soil metagenome. RNAcentral's name for it is "partial contains 5.8S ribosomal RNA, internal transcribed spacer 2, and large subunit ribosomal RNA". The stretch from base 2 to 121 matches the Rfam family "5.8S ribosomal RNA", at positions 35 to 154 of the family's 154-position model. The record is from RNAcentral.